This 376-nucleotide unclassified non-coding RNA is filed under the name soil metagenome. Its description in RNAcentral is "partial contains 5.8S ribosomal RNA, internal transcribed spacer 2, and large subunit ribosomal RNA". The stretch from base 1 to 120 matches the Rfam family "5.8S ribosomal RNA", at positions 35 to 154 of the family's 154-position model. The record is from RNAcentral.
GAUGAAGAACGUAGUGAAAUGCGAUAAGUAAUGUGAAUUGCAGAAUUCAGUGAAUCAUCGAAUCUUUGAACGCAUCUUGCGCUCCUUGGUAUUCUGAGGAGCAUGCCUGUUUGAGUGUCAUUAAAUUCUCAACUACACUGACUUUGAAUUGGUGUGGCUUGGAUUUGGGGGGAAAAUUGUUGUGGGCUUUUUGUAUAGUCUGCUCCCCUGAAAUUGAUUAGCGGUACCUUUGUGGAACUGUCUACAGGUGUGAUAAUUAUCUACAUCUUAGACAUCUGCUGGAAUGCUGCUUUCUAACCCUUACUUGUAUUGACAAUCUUGACCUCAAAUCAGGUAGGACUACCCGCUGAACUUAAGCAUAUCAAUAAGCGGAGGA